GGAUCUUAGGGAAGUUCCACUGUCACUGUCACAUUCAUCUUUGUGUGCAAUAACGGAGUCACUACCGACAACGUCCAAUAUUAUGACCACAGUGCCGGUUAGGGAUUACCUGAGACAAAUGACCGUAGAUCAGUGCAACAGUAGUUGCGAUGCAUUACCCAAGAUGCCUUGCACUCUUGGAUAUAAAUGUACCGGUCUCGGGCGUAACUAUACCUGCAGUCUUCUCAGCCCAACUCUGAAUGUUACGUCAAAGACUACUAAUAUCACAGUGAAAAUGUCAUUUUUUGGUUUGAAAGGUGGGAAGGCUUGGCAAUAUUGUGUUUCUCUGAAUGCAAUACCCGUGAUUGGACGCAAUUGGACAUUAGCGUUCAACACAAAGAGUAUUUGUGGCGAUAAAGAAGUACAAACUUUCUCUGGUCUCGAAGAGUUCACCACAUACUUAGUUACGUCAUGGAUAACUGACAUAAAUGGAGUGGGUUCUGUAAACACGACCAUGAA
This is a long non-coding RNA of Sycon ciliatum, 498 nucleotides long. RefSeq lists it as uncharacterized. Lineage: Eukaryota; Metazoa; Porifera; Calcarea; Leucosolenida; Sycettidae. The record is from RefSeq and is a predicted model, not a curated record. The transcript is spliced from 3 exons.